Molecule: long non-coding RNA, 165 nt
Organism: Triticum dicoccoides
Lineage: Eukaryota; Viridiplantae; Streptophyta; Magnoliopsida; Poales; Poaceae
Exons: 2
Source: RefSeq, a predicted model, not a curated record
UUAAUGGUGACUUUGUCGGGAUGAACUUUUAUUCUAAGGAAGAGACUCCGUUCCUACCAAGGAAUAAAAUUCUUGAACUUCUGAUGCAUUUUAGGAGAACACCCCCGUGCUGGGACACAAGUAAGAAAAGAGGUAGUAAAACUGAAAGAGGCGCAAGCAAGGCAC